RNAcentral lists this ribosomal RNA (494 nucleotides) under uncultured bacterium. RNAcentral describes it as "partial 16S ribosomal RNA". It matches the Rfam family "Bacterial small subunit ribosomal RNA", at positions 28 to 507 of the family's 1533-position model. The record is from RNAcentral.
GACGAACGCUGGCGGCGUGCUUAACACAUGCAAGUCGAACGGUGAAGCGCCUUCCUUUUUGGUGGGUGUGGAUGAGUGGCGAACGGGUGAGUAACACGUGAGUAACCUGCCCCCUUCUUCUGGAUAACCGCAUGAAAGUGUGGCUAAUACGGGAUAUUCUGGGUCUGUCGCAUGAUGGGUCUGGGAAAGAUAUUGUUUCGGUGGGGGAUGGGCUCGCGGCCUAUCAGCUUGUUGGUGGGGUGAUGGCCUACCAAGGCGGUGACGGGUAGCCGGCCUGGGAGGGUGGACGGGCACACUGGGCCUGAGCCACGGCACGGACUCCUACGGGAGGCAGCAGUGGGGUAUAUUGCACAAUGGGCGAAAGCCUGAUGCAGCGACGCCGCGUGAGGGAUGGAGGCCUUCGGGUUGUGACCCUCUUUCGCCAGUGAAGCAGGCCUGCCUCGUUUGUGGGUGGGUUGACGGUAGCUGGAUAAGAAGCGCCGGCUAACUACGUG